GACGAACGCUGGCGGCGUGCUUAACACAUGCAAGUCGAACGGAAAGGCCUGCUUUCCCUUGUGGAUUGCGGGUGCUCGAGUGGCGAACGGGUGAGUAACACGUGAGUGAUCUGCCCCCAACUUGGGUAUAAGCCUGGGAAACUGGGUCUAAUUCCCGAUAGGACUGCAGGGUGGUGCCUGUGGUGGAAAACGAUUUUCUAGUGGUUGGGGAUGAGCUCGCGGCCUAUCAGCUUGUUGGUGGGGUAAUGGCCUACCAAGGCGGCGACGGGUAGCCGGCCUGAGAGGGUGGACGGCCACAUUGGGACUGAGAUACGGCCCAGACUCCGACGGGAGGCAGCAGUGGGGAAUAUGGCACAAUGGGCGGAAGCCUGAGGCAGCGACGCCGCGUGGGGGAUGACGGCCUUCGGGUUGUAAACUCCUUUCGACCGCGAGGAAGCCACCUGGUUGGAAGGGUGGUGACGGUAGUGGGAGAAGAAGCACCGGCUAACUACGUG
This 494-nucleotide ribosomal RNA is filed under the name uncultured bacterium. RNAcentral's name for it is "partial 16S ribosomal RNA". It matches the Rfam family "Bacterial small subunit ribosomal RNA", at positions 28 to 507 of the family's 1533-position model. The record is from RNAcentral.